This 252-nucleotide ribosomal RNA is filed under the name uncultured bacterium. RNAcentral describes it as "partial 16S ribosomal RNA". It matches the Rfam family "Bacterial small subunit ribosomal RNA", at positions 524 to 776 of the family's 1533-position model. The record is from RNAcentral.
GACGAACCGUGCGAACGUUGUUCGGAUUCACUGGGCUUAAAGGGCGCGUAGGCGGGCGGUCAAGUCAGGGGUGAAAUCUUUCGGCCUAACCGGAAAAGGGCCUCUGAUACUGGCCGUCUCGAGGGAGUGAGGGCAUGCGGAACUUCCGGUGGAGCGGUGAAAUGCGUAGAUAUCGGAAGGAACGCCGGUGGCGAAAGCGGCGUGCUGGACCUCUUCUGACGCUGAGGCGCGAAAGCCAGGGGAGCGAACGGG